RNAcentral lists this ribosomal RNA (253 nucleotides) under uncultured bacterium. RNAcentral describes it as "partial 16S ribosomal RNA". It matches the Rfam family "Bacterial small subunit ribosomal RNA", at positions 524 to 776 of the family's 1533-position model. The record is from RNAcentral.
UACAGAGGUCUCAAGCGUUGUUCGGAUUCAUUGGGCGUAAAGGGUGCGUAGGCGGCGCGGUAAGUCGGGUGUGAAAUCUCGGAGCUUAACUCCGAAACUGCAUUCGAUACUGCCGUGCUUGAGGACUGGAGAGGAGACUGGAAUUCAUGGUGUAGCAGUGAAAUGCGUAGAUAUCGUAAGGAAGACCAGUGGCGAAGGCGGGUCUCUGGACAGUUCCUGACGCUGAGGCACGAAGGUCAGGGGAGCAAACGGG